This 648-nucleotide ribosomal RNA is filed under the name uncultured bacterium. RNAcentral describes it as "bacterial SSU rRNA". It matches the Rfam family "Bacterial small subunit ribosomal RNA", at positions 35 to 731 of the family's 1533-position model. The record is from RNAcentral.
GCUGGCGGCAGGCCUAAAACAUGCAAGUCGAACGAACCUUCGGGUUAGUGGCGCACGGGUGAGUAACACGUGGGGAUGUGCCUCUGGGUGCGGAACAACGUCGGGAAACUGACGCUAAUACCGCAUAAUGUCUACGGACCAAAGAUUUAUUGCCCAGAGAUCAGCCCGCGUCUGAUUAGCUAGUUGGUGAGGUAAUGGCUCACCAAGGCGACGAUCAGUAGCUAGUCUGAGAGGAUGAUCAGCCACACUGGAACUGAGACACGGUCCAGACUCCUACGGGAGGCAGCAGUUAGGAAUAUUGGACAAUGGGGGCAACCCUGAUCCAGCCAUGCCGCGUGUGUGAAGAAGGCCUUAGGGUUGUAAAGCACUUUCGGCUGUGAAGAUAAUGACAGUAGCAGAAGAAGAAGCUCCGGCUAAAUUCGUGCCAGCAGCCGCGGUAAUACGAAUGGAGCGAGCGUUGUUCGGAAUCACUGGGCGUAAAGCGUGCGCAGGCGGUCUUGAAAGUCAGGAGUGAAAUCCCAGGGCUUAACCCUGGAAUUGCUCUUGAAACUCCAAGACUGGAGUACUGGAGAGGUUGGCGGAAUUCCGAGUGUAGCAAUGAAAUGCGUAGAUAUUCGGAGGAACACCGAUGGCGUAGGCAGCCAACUG